GCACCUCUCCAAGUACGUCCUCGAUGGUACGUAUAGGAAACAAGCCGUCUGUCAUCUAUUCUACCGAUCGAUGGAUUGGUUCUCCGGUCCAACUUCGAGCUGCAUUGAUCACUGACGAUGAGAUACUGUGUUGGGCAUUGGGUCAGCUCUUGACCCGGAGACCAAGGUGCUGGACCUGGGCUCUCGCAACUUCUUCCUCUGCUCCAACAGGGCGACACAGAGAUCAGAUCAUCAUCUGCUUCUUCGCUCAGCACGGCCAUGUCUUGAUGUCUGAAAGAGUGAAAAUACUGCUGUAAAAAUGGUGGGAAUUACUCAGAAAGUCAGAAGUCAGGACCUGACGCAUGUAUGGUUUUGGAGUGUACCUAACGUCUGACCCUCUGGAUAAGCACGUAAUGUUAGGUUACGUAUAGCUCAGCCAAGGGACAUACAUAUGUAAUAUAGCCUCCCUAAACCCAUCCAUGCACAUGGCCCACAUAGACUCGUCCAGAUCUCAAAUGCAUAGACUGACCAACAUCUCUCAUAUUCAGCCUAAAUUUAAUGCGGAUAUGAUUAGGCUCACACGUGUUUGGGUGCGUCCCUCACAUCGGACCAACCCACACUGACCUAUCCUGACCCAUACAUCUCAACCACCAUGUGGCACAAAAGAGGUCCAGUGAAGACACUGUUGGGGGAGGUGUGGAGGUGGGGCUGAGGACAUCGACCAGGGAGGUGUCGGGGUAGUUGUGACGGGCACAAAGAAGAAAGGUAGUGCGUUGCUUGAGGGGAGAAAAGACAACAAGGGGAGGUAACAUUGGAUCGUCAGAGUGCUGAGAAGAGAUUAAAAAAUAGGGUAUUCUCUUGCUUUAUAUUAUAAAGCAAUAAACAGGGAUCACAACUAUUGGGACGGACACCACAUCAAGCCAAAAAAA
Molecule: long non-coding RNA, 908 nt
Filed under: Hordeum vulgare
Lineage: Eukaryota; Viridiplantae; Streptophyta; Magnoliopsida; Poales; Poaceae
Description: long non-coding RNA (HVUL_LNC020341)
Source: RNAcentral